RNAcentral lists this ribosomal RNA (301 nucleotides) under uncultured bacterium. RNAcentral describes it as "partial 16S ribosomal RNA". It matches the Rfam family "Bacterial small subunit ribosomal RNA", at positions 509 to 807 of the family's 1533-position model. The record is from RNAcentral.
CAGUCGCCACGGGAAUACGGAGGGCGCGAGCGUUACCCGGAUUUACUGGGCGUAAAGGGCGUGUAGGCGGCCUGGGGCGUCCCAUGCGAAAGGCCACGGCUCAACCGUGGAGGAGCGUGGGAUACGCUCAGGCUAGAGGGUGGGAGAGGGUGGUGGAAUUCCCGGAGUAGCGGUGAAAUGCGCAGAUACCGGGAGGAACGCCGAUGGCGAAGGCAGCCACCUGGUCCACUUCUGACGCUGAGGCGCGAAAGCGUGGGGAGCAAACCGGAUUAGAUACCCCAGUAGUCCCUGUCUCUUAUAC